This is a long non-coding RNA of Cebus imitator (Panamanian white-faced capuchin), 241 nucleotides long. RefSeq lists it as uncharacterized. The transcript has 2 exons. The record is from RefSeq and is a predicted model, not a curated record. Lineage: Eukaryota; Metazoa; Chordata; Mammalia; Primates; Cebidae.
GUCCCCUUCUUCCACACCCCUUUGGACUCCAUGUUUGGAUCCCCUUCCAUGAACACUCCCUUCAUGGAAGCCUCCGUCUUCCCCUCCUAAACUCCAUCUCUCUCUAUUCCCUUCCACUCAGUGUGGAAGCUGCGUUCCUCUCCUGGAUUCUAUCUGUCUGGAUUCUCUCAGUGUGAGAGUUAGCUGUUUCUUUCUCUCUCCUUCUGUUUCUCUCUCUUUUUAAAUAAAUCACUUUGUACAA